RNAcentral lists this ribosomal RNA (324 nucleotides) under uncultured eukaryote. Its description in RNAcentral is "partial 18S ribosomal RNA". It matches the Rfam family "Eukaryotic small subunit ribosomal RNA", at positions 1470 to 1796 of the family's 1831-position model. The record is from RNAcentral.
CCCUUAGAUGUUCUGGGCUGCACGCGCGCUACACUGACACACUCAGCGAGUCACCUGAUCUGAGAAGACCGGGCAAUCAUGUGAGCGUGUGUCGUGAUGGGGAUAGAAUAUUGUAAUUAUUACUCUUCAACGAGGAAUUCCUAGUAAGCGCGAGUCAGCAGCUCGCGCUGAUUACGUCCCUGCCCUUUGUACACACCGCCCGUCGCUCCUACCGAUUGAGUGGUCCGGUGAGGCUUUGGGAUCUGAGCGGAAAGAGCGUUUCGCUGUUUCUGCUCGGAAAACUCAGUCGAACCUUAUCAUUUAGAGGAAGGAGAAGUCGUAACA